UCCUCCCUCUUUCUUCGUGCUUAACACAUGCAAGUCGAACGGAAAGGCCCCUUCGGGGGUCCUCGAGUGGCGAACAGGUGAGUAACACGUGAGUAACCUGCCCUUGACUUCGGGAUAACUUCAGGAAACUGGGGCUAAUACCGGAUAGGAAUCCUUGCUGCAUGGUGGGGGUUGGAAAGCUUCGGCGGUUUUGGAUGGACUCGCGGCUUAUCAGCUUGUUGGUGGGGUAGUGGCUUACCAAGGCUUUGACGGGUAGCCGGCCUGAGAGGGCGACCGGCCACAUUGGGACUGAGAUACGGCCCAGACUCCUACGGGAGGCAGCAGUGGGGAAUAUUGCACAAUGGGCGGAAGCCGGAUGCAGCAACGCCGCGUGCGGGAUGACGGCCUUCGGGUUGUAAACCGCUUUCAGCAGGGGCGAAGCUUGUGGUGACGGUACCUGCAGAAGAAGCACCGGCUAACUACGUG
RNAcentral lists this ribosomal RNA (465 nucleotides) under uncultured bacterium. RNAcentral's name for it is "partial 16S ribosomal RNA". It matches the Rfam family "Bacterial small subunit ribosomal RNA", at positions 36 to 507 of the family's 1533-position model. The record is from RNAcentral.